Brachypodium distachyon (stiff brome) is the source of this 125-nucleotide non-coding RNA. NCBI's taxonomy places the organism in Eukaryota, Viridiplantae, Streptophyta, Magnoliopsida, Poales, Poaceae. The record is from Rfam.
UAACUACUACCUCCGUUUCAUAAUUCUUGUCGAAAUCUUAGAUGUAUCUACACAUCUUUUAAGAAUAGAUACAUCCAUUUUUGAGCAAAUUUGAGACAAGAAUUAUGAAACGGGAAGAGUAGCUG